GCCUGGGUGGCUCAGUUGGUUGAGCGUCCGACUUUGGCUCAGGUCACGAUCUCGCGGUCCGUGGGUUCGAGCCCCGCGUCGGGCU
Molecule: transfer RNA, 85 nt
Filed under: Felis catus (domestic cat)
Lineage: Eukaryota; Metazoa; Chordata; Mammalia; Carnivora; Felidae
Rfam family: tRNA
About the family: Transfer RNA (tRNA) molecules are approximately 80 nucleotides in length. Their secondary structure includes four short double-helical elements and three loops (D, anti-codon, and T loops).
Source: Rfam by way of RNAcentral